Molecule: transfer RNA, 70 nt
Filed under: Ictidomys tridecemlineatus (thirteen-lined ground squirrel)
Lineage: Eukaryota; Metazoa; Chordata; Mammalia; Rodentia; Sciuridae
Description: Spermophilus tridecemlineatus (thirteen-lined ground squirrel) tRNA
Rfam family: tRNA
About the family: Transfer RNA (tRNA) molecules are approximately 80 nucleotides in length. Their secondary structure includes four short double-helical elements and three loops (D, anti-codon, and T loops).
Source: Rfam by way of RNAcentral
GGAGAUAUAGCUCAGUUAGUAGAGUGCUUGCCUCACACGCACAAGGUCCUGGGUUCAAUCCCCAGCACCA